GUGCAGUGAAGAUUUGGAACCAAUUCUGAAAAUUUUUAAUGUAGCAAUACAAAUCGAGCUUUUUAAUACUGAGCACC
RNAcentral lists this small nucleolar RNA (77 nucleotides) under Rhodnius prolixus. Lineage: Eukaryota; Metazoa; Arthropoda; Insecta; Hemiptera; Reduviidae. The record is from RNAcentral.